Macaca fascicularis (crab-eating macaque) is the source of this 148-nucleotide unclassified non-coding RNA. It matches the Rfam family "Metazoan signal recognition particle RNA". Rfam says of the family: The signal recognition particle (SRP) is a universally conserved ribonucleoprotein. It is involved in the co-translational targeting of proteins to membranes. Lineage: Eukaryota; Metazoa; Chordata; Mammalia; Primates; Cercopithecidae. The record is from Ensembl.
GCUGGGCGUGGUGGCGCUCGCCUGUAAUCCCAGCUACUUGGGAGGCUGAGGCAGUAGAAUCGCUUGAACCCGGGAGGCGGAGGUUGCAGUGAGCCGAGAUUGCGCCACUGCUCUGCAGCCUGGGCGACAGAGCGAUACUCCGUCUCAA